AAGCUCGUAGUUGAAUUUCGGGGUUCUACCGUUGGUCGGGCAAUAGUCUGUACCGGCGUGUAGAAUUUCUACCUUCUGGGGAACUAUCAUGUUAUUUAUUUAGCGUGGUAGGAAACCAGGACCUUUACCUUGAAAAAAUUAGAGUGUUCAAAGCAGGCUUACGUCUGAAUACAUUAGCAUGGAAUAAUAAAAUAGGACGGUGGUCCUGUUUUGUUGGUUUCUGAAUCACCGCAAUGAUUAAUAGGGAUAGUUGGG
This 255-nucleotide ribosomal RNA is filed under the name uncultured Gigaspora. RNAcentral describes it as "partial 18S ribosomal RNA". It matches the Rfam family "Eukaryotic small subunit ribosomal RNA", at positions 624 to 886 of the family's 1831-position model. The record is from RNAcentral. Lineage: Eukaryota; Fungi; Glomeromycota; Glomeromycetes; Diversisporales; Gigasporaceae.